CAUUUUCAAACCCUGAUGUUAAUUUCUCUGUUUUUUUCUCCAAUUUCUCAUGAUUGUUGUUUUGGAUCUAGGAGCUCCCUCACUUCCUCCUUAUAUAAGACAUUCCAUUUCACUCUAAAUCCAAAUAUAUUUAAACCAAUUUUUAACUUCACCCUAUAUUUCAACAUUUAAUCACAGUUCAUUCUUUUUCUCUCAUUUC
RNAcentral lists this long non-coding RNA (199 nucleotides) under Lathyrus oleraceus (garden pea). RNAcentral's name for it is "Pisum sativum (pea) long non-coding RNA (PSAT_LNC037099)". The record is from RNAcentral. Lineage: Eukaryota; Viridiplantae; Streptophyta; Magnoliopsida; Fabales; Fabaceae.